RNAcentral lists this unclassified non-coding RNA (243 nucleotides) under Glomus sp. RNAcentral describes it as "partial internal transcribed spacer 2". Lineage: Eukaryota; Fungi; Glomeromycota; Glomeromycetes; Glomerales; Glomeraceae. The record is from RNAcentral.
GUGAAUCAUCGAAUCUUUGAACGCAAAUUGCACUCUCUGCGGAUAGUAUGCCUGUUUGUGUUUCAGCCUAAAAAAAAUCGCCAUUGUUGCUGUUUCGCGGUGGCGUUCGUCGGAAAUUGGAUUAUCUUAAAUCUUUGUUUUAAUCGACGUAAAAUUUUCUUUACGAUUCCAUGAACGUUUUCAAGUUUUAUUUCUUUACACAUUUACGAUAUCGAAUUUAUGAAGCCUGUUCGUCAUAUUGGA